AAAUCAAAAGAAAAAGCAGAUGCAGAAGCAGAAGAACCAGAACCAGAAGGAGGAGGAGAAACACAAACAUAAGCACGCUUUGAAUCAGUAUUCUAAACAAACGAUUCGUUGAAGUUUUCAACACUUCAGUAAACAGUGUUUCGAGCGCACAUUCACUACUUUGUGUCAGUUUAGUGUUUAAAAUGGUCCGUUCGUGUGCGUACCCUGGAUGCGGAAAACUUUUAAAACCUAAAAGAUUACGUCCGCGAGGAGAUAACUUGACUUCUCACAAAUUUCCUUUACCCAAUCCUGAGCGAUUGAAGCUGUGGUUGCUCGCGCUCUGCAUGGACGUCAACACACCCGAAGAUUCCCUGAUACACAAGAGAGUGUGCGGUGAUCAUUUUUACGACGAGGAUUACCACCACUCCGACAAAGGACACCGUCGUUUGCUCAAAUCUUCGGCUGUGCCCAUAACGUUUUUAAGGCAAGCAGAGCCUGAUGAAAAGCCAGAGUCCUUAGCAACACACAGUGAAGCAGAGCUGGAGGUCCAGGGAGCAGGAGCAUUUUGGACUAAUGCUCCACAGUCAACACCAGUAAAAAACACCACUAGGCAGUUUACAGAGGCUUAUUCUAAAUUUUUAGUGAUCAGAAGUCCAGAAACUGCACAAAAAGGGACAAAUACAUCAACAUCUGGGACAUAUUAUGCCUUCCCUCCAGUACGCUCCCACCAGUCUGUAAAUGCCAACAUUUGUGAUCAGCUAAACAAGUUGAAUAUGCCUCCCAUGUACAUUAAACCGGAACAGACAGAAGAUCAAUAUGAAGAAAAUGUGAAGCCUGAUGUUAGCAUGCUGCCCAUAGAUCCUUCGUCGGACAAAAAAGAUGUUCGUGUUCAGCCACUAAGUUCAACUUCAGCCUCAAGCACAGAAGAUGAGGAAUGUGAGAAGAAUUUGAAAACAACACUAUGGAUUGUCAAUGAGCCCAGUCUCAUGGAGCUUUUCAAAAGAUGUCAAGAAUGUGGCUCGCUAAUAACAGAAACCAGAAAAGCAACAGUGGGAAGUCUUCUCCGUGUUUACUGGACAUGUGAAAAAAACCACAAGGGACAGUGGAGUUCCUGCACCGAAGUUCGACGAAUGCCUGCUAAUAGCCGUCUUGUUUCUGCAUGCACACUACUCACUGGAGCACUCUAUGCUCAACCUUCAAAUACCCAAGAAAACUACUUACCAUGCAAUUCAGUCUUCUUACCUUCUCUACCUUAUCAUUACCGAAUUAUAUCAAGAACAACAGAAAACAGCAGUUAAUGACUUACAUGACCAAAAUGAACUCCAGAAUCCAGUUCAGUUGUCAGGGGAUGGGAGAUCAGACAGGAGGACCUCGGUACAAGGUUGUUUUGCAGAAACGCACCAAAGAAUGGAUAGGCACAGCGAUUUUCAAACCCACCACUCAAAAAUUGAGAAACUCUGGUUGAGAAAGUUCUACAGUGGUGCCUGGACCCCCAGCAUUGCUUUCAAGGACAGUUUUUCUCAUUUGCCUCAUCCUCCAUUGCUGUAGAACAUUUCCAUAAAAGCAAGGUCUGACAAGCGAGAAGUAAUUACAAUGAGAUAAUGAAGAUUUGGACAGUAAUUUACUUUGAAAAAAUGUCAAAUGUAAUAUUACUGUUAUUACUCAUUUUGUAACAGUUUUGAUAUUUUGGUACUUUUUUUAUAAUUGAGGAAUACACCAUUGCUAAAAUUAUGUAUUUUUUGUGUUAGUGUGAAUAUUUUGGUCAUUACUGAAUGUACCCUACAUCAGUAUUCUCAAAUACAUAGAGUUGCAUUUACACAUGAAAAACUGUAGUUACCUCAUUGUUUUUUUUUUUCUAUUCUUCCAAGUAAACUUACAUGUGAGAUGACAAAAAAAGUCUACAGUGUUGAUAUAUAUGC
Molecule: RNA transcript, 1898 nt
Organism: Labeo rohita (rohu)
Lineage: Eukaryota; Metazoa; Chordata; Actinopteri; Cypriniformes; Cyprinidae
Exons: 4
Source: RefSeq, a predicted model, not a curated record